GCCUUGGUGCUGGAAUGGUAGACAGGCUAGCUUCAGGAGCUAGUGUCAGCAAUGGCGUGAGAGUUCGAAUCUCUCCCAGGGCA
This 83-nucleotide transfer RNA is filed under the name Candidatus Levyibacteriota bacterium. RNAcentral's name for it is "tRNA-Leu". It matches the Rfam family "tRNA". From Rfam's summary of the family: Transfer RNA (tRNA) molecules are approximately 80 nucleotides in length. Lineage: Bacteria; Candidatus Levyibacteriota. The record is from RNAcentral.